CGGCGACGGUGGAUGCCUUGGC
RNAcentral lists this ribosomal RNA (22 nucleotides) under Parafrankia sp. BMG5.11. Its description in RNAcentral is "Frankia sp. BMG5.11 partial 23S ribosomal RNA". The record is from RNAcentral. Lineage: Bacteria; Bacillati; Actinomycetota; Actinomycetes; Frankiales; Frankiaceae.